RNAcentral lists this long non-coding RNA (335 nucleotides) under Monodelphis domestica (gray short-tailed opossum). Its description in RNAcentral is "lncRNA (ENSMODG00000045363.1)". The record is from RNAcentral. Lineage: Eukaryota; Metazoa; Chordata; Mammalia; Didelphimorphia; Didelphidae.
GGCCAUGGAACUUCCCUGCAGCUGGGAUAUAGCUGUCCUGUUCAGCUGUUUUUGAAAACCCAAAUCAUUCCAGUGUCUUAUUCCCCCUGUGACUCUUGGACUCCUUGCUCCCUUGCAAGGCAGGUCCUAUCAUCUAUACAACACCUUGCUAAUUGCCAGAAGAAUGGAGAUCUGCUUAAUGAAUCAUAGAUUUAGAGCAAAGACACUGCUAGAGGCCUUCUAGUCCAAGUCCGUCAUUUUACAAAUGAGGAAAGAGCUGACAAUCCAAGGUAGGAUUCGAAACUAGAUUUUCCUGGCUCCAGCUCCAAUGCUCUAUUUAUUAUGGUGUGCUGUUC